RNAcentral lists this ribosomal RNA (447 nucleotides) under uncultured bacterium. RNAcentral describes it as "bacterial SSU rRNA". It matches the Rfam family "Bacterial small subunit ribosomal RNA", at positions 331 to 793 of the family's 1533-position model. The record is from RNAcentral.
CCAGACUCCUACGGGAGGCAGCAGUGGGGAAUAUUGCACAAUGGGGGAAACCCUGAUGCAGCGACGCCGCGUGAAGGAUGAAGUAUUUCGGUAUGUAAACUUCUAUCAGCAGGGAAGAAAAUGACGGUACCUGACUAAGAAGCCCCGGCUAACUACGUGCCAGCAGCCGCGGUAAUACGUAGGGGGCAAGCGUUAUCCGGAAUUACUGGGUGUAAAGGGAGCGUAGACGGUGAAGUAAGUCUGGAGUGAAAGGCGGGGGCCCAACCCCCGGACUGCCCUGGAAACUAUUUGACUGGAGUGCAGGAGAGGUAAGCGGAAUUCCUAGUGUAGCGGUGAAAUGCGUAGAUAUUAGGAGGAACACCAGUGGCGAAGGCGGCUUACUGGACUGUAACUGACGUUGAGGCUCGAAAGCGUGGGGAGCAAACAGGAUUAGAUACCCCAGUAGAG